AUGACUUCCAAUCAUUAAGCCUUGGUUAGACCCCAAGAGAAAAUA
Molecule: transfer RNA, 45 nt
Filed under: Duttaphrynus melanostictus (Asian common toad)
Lineage: Eukaryota; Metazoa; Chordata; Amphibia; Anura; Bufonidae
Description: partial tRNA-Gly
Source: RNAcentral